GGAUCCAGACUUUGAUCCUGGCUCAGGAUGAACGCUAGCUACAGGCCUAACACAUGCAAGUCGAGGGGAAACGGCAGCUUAGCUUGCUAAGCUGGACGUCGACCGGCGCACGGGUGAGUAACGCGUAUCCAACCUGCCCCACGGUGAGGGAUAACCCGCGGAAACGCGGCCUAAUACCUCAUGGUCUCCGAGUUCGCCAUCAACCUUGGAGUAAAGAUUCAUUGCCGUGGGAUGGGGAUGCGUCUGAUUAGCUUGUUGGCGGGGCAACGGCCCACCAAGGCAACGAUCAGUAGGGGUUCUGAGAGGAAAGCCCCCCACAUUGGAACUGAGACACGGUCCAAACUCCUACGGGAGGCAGCAGUGAGGAAUAUUGGUCAAUGGGCGAGAGCCUGAACCAGCCAAGUAGCGUGCAGGAAGACGGCCCUAUGGGUUGUAAACUGCUUUUAUGCGGGGAUAAAGCGGGCGACGUGUCGCCCUUUGCAGGUACCGCAUGAAUAAGGACCGGCUAAUUCCGUGCCAGCAGCCGCGGUAAUACGGAAGGUCCGGGCGUUAUCCGGAUUUAUUGGGUUUAAAGGGAGCGCAGGCCGGGUAUUAAGCGUGUUGUGAAAUGUAGGCGCCCAACGUCUGCACCGCAGCGCGAACUGGUGCCCUUGAGUACGCACGACGUUGGCGGAAUUCGCCGUGUAGCGGUGAAAUGCUUAGAUAUGGCGAAGAACUCCGAUUGCGAAGGCAGCUGACGGGAGCGCUACUGACGCUCAUGCUCGAAAGCGCGGGUAUCGAACAGGAUUAGAUACCCUGGUAGUCCGCGCGGUAAACGAUGGAUGCCCGCUAUUCGCGCAUUAGCGCAAGUGGCCAAGUGAAAACGUUAAGCAUCCCACCUGGGGAGUACGCCGGCAACGGUGCAACUCAAAGGAAUUGACGG
Molecule: ribosomal RNA, 922 nt
Filed under: uncultured Bacteroidota bacterium
Lineage: Bacteria; Pseudomonadati; Bacteroidota
Description: bacterial SSU rRNA
Rfam family: Bacterial small subunit ribosomal RNA
Source: RNAcentral